Molecule: ribosomal RNA, 827 nt
Filed under: Candidatus Helicobacter bovis
Lineage: Bacteria; Pseudomonadati; Campylobacterota; Epsilonproteobacteria; Campylobacterales; Helicobacteraceae
Description: bacterial SSU rRNA
Rfam family: Bacterial small subunit ribosomal RNA
Source: RNAcentral
CUGAGAGAAGAUAAUGACGGUAUCUCAGGAAUAAGCACCGGCUAACUCCGUGCCAGCAGCCCGCGGUAAUACGGAGGGUGCAAGCGUUACUCGGAAUCACUGGGCGUAAAGAGCGUGUAGGCGGAAUGAUAAGUCAGGCGUGAAAUCCCGUGGCUUAACUGCGGAACUGCGUUUGAAACUAUCAUUCUGGAGUGUGGGAGAGGCAGGUGGAACUCUUGGUGUAGGGGUAAAAUCCGUAGAUAUCAAGAAGAAUACUCAUUGCGAAGGCGACCUGCUGGAACAUCACUGACGCUGAUGCGCGAAAGCGUGGGGAGCAAACAGGAUUAGAUACCCUGGUAGUCCACGCCCUAAACGAUGGAUGCUAAUUGUCGGGGGGCUUGUCUCCUCGGUAAUGCAGCUAACGCAUUAAGCAUCCCGCCUGGGGAGUACGAUCGCAAGAUUAAAACUCAAAGGAAUAGACGGGGACCCGCACAAGCGGUGGAGCAUGUGGUUUAAUUCGAAGAUACGCGAAGAACCUUACCCAGGCUUGACAUUGAUGGAAUCUACCCCAAAAGGUGGAGUGCCAGUUUACUGGAGCCUGAAAACAGGUGCUGCACGGCUGUCGUCAGCUCGUGUCGUGAGAUGUUGGGUUAAGUCCCGCAACGAGCGCAACCCUCGUCCUUAGUUGCCAUCAGUUCGGCUGGGCACUCUAAGGAGACUGCCUUCGUAAGGAGGAGGAAGGCGAGGAUGACGUCAAGUCAUCAUGGCCCUUACGCCUGGGGCUACACACGUGCUACAAUGGGAUGUACAAAGAGAUGCAAUGUCGUAAGAUGGAGCAAAACUCAAAA